Molecule: ribosomal RNA, 203 nt
Filed under: uncultured prokaryote
Description: partial 16S ribosomal RNA
Rfam family: Bacterial small subunit ribosomal RNA
Source: RNAcentral
UACGGAGGGUGCAAGCGUUGUUCGGAAUCACUGGGCGUAAAGCGCGUGUAGGCGGUCCGCUAAGUCUGAUGUGAAAGCCCGGGGCUCACCCCCGGAAGGGCAUUGGAAACUGGCGGACUCGAGUCCCGGAGAGGAGACUGGAAUUCCUGGUGUAGCAGUGAAAUGCGUAGAUAUCAGGAGGAAUACCGAUGGCGAAGGCAGGU